CCUACGGGAGGCAGCAGUAGGGAAUCUUCCGCAAUGGACGAAAGUCUGACGGAGCAACGCCGCGUGAACGAUGAAGGCCUUCGGGUCGUAAAGUUCUGUUGUUAGGGAAGAACAAGUGCUAGUUGAAUAAGCUGGCACCUUGACGGUACCUAACCAGAAAGCCACGGCUAACUACGUGCCAGCAGCCGCGGUAAUACGUAGGUGGCAAGCGUUGUCCGGAAUUAUUGGGCGUAAAGCGCGCGCAGGCGGUUUCUUAAGUCUGAUGUGAAAGCCCCCGGCUCAACCGGGGAGGGUCAUUGGAAACUGGGAAACUUGAGUGCAGAAGAGGAAAGUGGAAUUCCAAGUGUAGCGGUGAAAUGCGUAGAGAUUUGGAGGAACACCAGUGGCGAAGGCGACUUUCUGGUCUGUAACUGACGCUGAGGCGCGAAAGCGUGGGGAGCAAACAGGAUUAGAUACCCUGGUAGUCCACGCUGUAAACGAUGAGUGCUAAGUGUUAGAGGGUUUCCGCCCUUUAGUGCUGAAGUUAACGCAUUAAGCACUCCGCCUGGGGAGUACGGUCGCAAGACUGAAGCUCAAAGGAUUGACGG
This 587-nucleotide ribosomal RNA is filed under the name uncultured bacterium. Its description in RNAcentral is "bacterial SSU rRNA". It matches the Rfam family "Bacterial small subunit ribosomal RNA", at positions 338 to 916 of the family's 1533-position model. The record is from RNAcentral.